UACGGAGGGUGCAAGCGUUAAUCGGAAUUACUGGGCGUAAAGCGUGCGCAGGCGGUUAGGCAAGACAGAGGUGAAAUCCCCGGGCUCAACCUGGGAACUGCCUUUGUGACUGCAUAGCUAGAGUACGGCAGAGGGGGAUGGAAUUCCACGUGUAGCAGUGAAAUGCGUAGAUAUGUGGAGGAACACCGAUGGCGAAGGCAAUCCCCUGGGCCUGUACUGACGCUAAUGCACGAAAGCGUGGGGAGCAAACAGG
This 253-nucleotide unclassified non-coding RNA is filed under the name uncultured Gammaproteobacteria bacterium. RNAcentral's name for it is "contains 16S-23S intergenic spacer region". It matches the Rfam family "Bacterial small subunit ribosomal RNA", at positions 524 to 776 of the family's 1533-position model. The record is from RNAcentral. Lineage: Bacteria; Pseudomonadati; Pseudomonadota; Gammaproteobacteria.